GGGCUGUGGUUAGGCACCGCCCGCCCAGCGGCGGUUGGGGCGGGAGAAGCAGCCGCGCUCCCCGCGGCCGUGGCAGGGCAGAUGAGGGGGGUCCGGGCGCAACCGUUGCCCGGCGGCUCCUGACCGCCCUUUCCGUGCCAUUGCUUUUCAGCUCGGGGCAGUGUGGUGAGGAGCGUGGUCGGGGGGGGAUCUCUCCCCCGGCGGGGCCGCGGCCAUGGACGAGCAGAGCGUGGAGAGCAUUGCUGAAGUAUUCCGAUGUUUUAUUUGUAUGGAGAAAUUGCGUGAUGCACGCCUGUGUCCUCAUUGCUCCAAGCUGUGCUGUUUCAGUUGUAUUCGGCGUUGGCUGACUGAACAAAGAGCUCAGUGCCCUCAUUGUAGAGCUCCACUGCAGCUACGAGAGCUUGUAAACUGUCGUUGGGCAGAAGAGGUCACACAGCAGCUGGAUACACUUCAACUCUGCAAUCUCACAAAGCAUGAAGAAAAUGAGAAAGACAAGUGUGAAAAUCAUCAUGAAAAACUUAGUGUUUUCUGCUGGACCUGUAAGAAGUGUAUCUGCCACCAGUGUGCGCUUUGGGGAGGAAUGCAUGGAGGACAUACUUUUAAACCACUGGCAGAAAUCUACGAGCAACAUGUCACAAAAGUCAAUGAAGAAGUCGUAAAGCUUAGGAGAAGACUCAUGGAAUUGAUCAGUUUGGUUCAAGAAGUGGAGAGGAAUGUGGAUGCAGUGCGUAGUGCGAAGGAUGAACGAGUUCGGGAAAUCAGGAAUGCAGUGGAGAUGAUGAUUGCCCGGUUAGACACUCAGCUGAAGAAUAAGCUUAUAACAUUGAUGGGUCAAAAGACAUCACUUACUCAAGAAACUGAACUUCUGGAAUCCCUGCUUCAAGAAGUAGAACAUCAGUUACGAUCGUGUAGUAAGAGUGAGUUGAUAUCCAAAAGUUCGGAGAUCCUGAUGAUGUUCCAGCAGGUUCAUCGGAAGCCUAUGGCCUCAUUUGUCACCACUCCUGUCCCCCCAGACUUCACAAGUGAAUUGGUUCCAGCCUAUGACUCAACUACAUUUGUCUUGGAAAACUUCAGUACGUUGCGUCAGCGAGCAGAUCCUGUUUACAGUCCACCUCUGCAAGUGUCAGGACUUUGCUGGAGAUUAAAAGUUUAUCCAGAUGGAAAUGGUGUAGUACGGGGCUACUACCUGUCUGUGUUCUUGGAGCUGUCUGCUGGAUUGCCAGAGACAUCCAAGUAUGAAUACCGUGUAGAAAUGGUUCACCAGUCCACCAACGAUCCCACCAAAAACAUAAUUCGAGAGUUUGCCUCUGAUUUUGAAGUUGGAGAAUGCUGGGGUUACAACAGGUUCUUUCGUUUAGACUUGCUAGCCAAUGAAGGAUAUUUAAACAGGCAAAAUGACACUGUGAUCCUCAGGUUCCAGGUGCGCUCGCCAACCUUCUUCCAGAAGUGCCGAGAUCAACACUGGUACAUUGCUCAGUUAGAAGCUGCUCAGACGAGUUAUAUCCAACAAAUAAAUAACCUUAAAGAAAGGCUUGCAAUUGAACUCUCACGGACCCAGAAAUCACGAGGCAUUUCACCUCCAGAUACUCAUCUUAGUCCCCAGAAUGACGAUGGUCCAGAAUCGAGAUCAAAGAAAUCUGGACAAAGCACUGAAGCACUACUUGAGAAUGUUGCUGCUCCACGAUUAGUGCAAGAUAGCAAGGAAGAGGAGGAAGAGAAGAUCCAGCAUGAAGACUUUAAUCAUGAGCUCUCUGAUGGUGACUUGGAUAUAGAUCUUGCUGGAGAGGAUGAGGUGAACCACCUUGAUGGCAGCAGCUCUUCAGCUAGUUCGACAGCAACUAGUAACACUGAAGAAAAUGAUAUCGAUGAAGAGACUAUGUCUGGAGAAAAUGAUGUGGAAUAUAGCAGUAAUAUGGAGUUGGAAGAAGGAGAUCUCAUGGAGGAUGCAGCAGCUGCUGCUACUCCUGGAGUAUCAGGUACUAGCCACAGCUACAUCAGUGCAAGUGGAAGACCUUCAAGGCGGGGAGGAAGUGCCCUAGGCUCAUCAGCCAGUAGCAGUUUACUAGAUAUAGAUCCCUUAAUUUUAAUCCACUUGCUGGAUCUAAAAGAUAGAAAUGGAAUGGAAAACCUCUGGGGCCUUCAGCCACGUCCACCUCCCUCUCUUCUGCAGAACAGAGCAUCAUCCUAUUCUCUGAAAGAUCGAGACCAGCGGAGACACCAGGCGAUGUGGCGCGUGCCCCCCGACUUGAAGAUGCUGAAAAGGCUCAAAACGCAGAUGGCUGAAGUUCGAAGCAAAAUGUCUGAUGUGAAAAACCAGCUGUCGGAAGUGAGAAGCAGCAACACUGGCUCAUGCGAUGGGCAGCCCAGCUUCUUCUCCAUUGAGCAAGGCGCUUUAGCUGCCUGCGGAACGGAAAGCUGCAGCAAGCUGCAAGAAAUAGGAAUGGAGCUACUGACUAAGUCUUCAGUUACCAGUUGUUACAUAAGGAAUUCUGCAAUUAAGAAAAGUAACUCACCCAAAACUAUUCGCUCUGGAGCAGCAGGCAGCCUGUCUUUACGGAGAGCUAUGGACUGUGUGGACAGCAAUCUUCGCUUAAAGGGAGACACUCAAACUUCUGAAGGUGGCGUAGGGAGCUCCAAGUUGAGUGGUCGGCACCACUCCACCAGGGCCCUGGCUAACAGCAGUGUCCCCGAGCCACUGCCGAAGACAGAGGAGAGGCCUUGUGAUGGCUCAGAUUCCGAUGUGGGAGUGUCUGGCUUAAAUGGCCUAGCUGCUGUAGAGAAGACCAGGAAAGCUGGUGCUCUAGGGUCAACUUCUAAAGGGUGUCGUACAGAAGGAGCCCAGUCAGGUGGUCUGGAAAACAGUUGUGACACGGGUGACCUACAAGCUGUGCUUCCCGAGGGGGCUUCUGCAGGGCCAGAAGAAGCAGUCAGUGACCUUGGCUUUUAAGCCUGCUGCCGUCAGGGACAACGCGUUGGUAACUACCUCCACGUCCGCACUAGAAUCUCUCCAACACUUCAUUCGUGUCGGGUGCUGUGGUACGUAAGCCAGUUUCCUUAGAGACUUGGAGGAAACUUUUCCCCCUCCCUUCCUGCAUCCUUUCCAUGCUGGAAAAAAAUAUUACUGCUUUUUUUUUUUUUUUUUCUUUUUUGAAAGUCCACACAGAAGAGUUUUUCUUAUCUUGCUAAAACUCUCCUGCCUUCCACCCCUGCACUAAUUUGAAUUUCAAUGACUGAAUUGUAGCGCAAAGCCUAUAUUAAGGUGCCAGCAUCCAUCUCUAGCUGCAGUGUGCAAUAUUGUGUAGGAGUUGGCAUUUACAGAAGGUCUCUCAGUGACAAAACUGAAUUUCUGCUCUUAGUCACUGCAGUGUGAUCGUGAUGCGCUCCCGCAGCUCUGCUAUAAUAGCAGAGAACCUAAUAGGAAAAUGUUUUAAGAACUGAAAUACUUCAUUGUUAAAAACCCCAGGAAACAAAUUUUACUUUUUUUUUUUUUCCCUUUCAGAGGAGAAACUACAGUAGAGCUGGUACCUCAACUCACUUGCUUUUUCUUAGCAAUGAGUAUCAGCUCUUAAGAAGUAAAAGAGCAGAGCAAACCCCUUCUGUCUCCCACAAAACUGCAAAAAGGAGCAUGUUGGCCUCUGCCAGUGUCCACUCAAGGUUUGGCAAAACAAAAGAAGCCACCUUGAUUAUCAACUGCUGUGGUUCUUUUUGUAGGAAAAGCAGGUUUUUUUGGGUCUGAGACUUGAGCAGAGUAUUGCUGCUUGAAGGAUGUGGUGGGUGGGUACAUCUGCUCCAUGGGUCAUGCUACCUCUAAACUGUUAAAAACCUGCUCUAGUGGAAGGUGUCCCUGCCUAUGGCAGGGGUUGGAACUCGAUGCGCUUUAAGGUCCCUUCCAACCCAAACCAGGCUGGGAUUCUGGGGAGGAAAAGGAAAAAAAAAAAGCAACUUUUAUUUUCUGUCCUCGUGGCAGAGGUGGGCAGAGCAGAGCAGCUGGCAGGGGAGCACAGCUCAGGCAGGAAGGGGCUGUGGGCAUCCAAGCCUGCCUCAGCUGGUGACAUGCUGGCACUGCUCCUCUUGUCCCAAACAGCAGAAUGAGGGCAUUUCUAAAGCUGGUACCAGCUGUUCUGUUCAGUACCUUAGUGUUUUGGUAAAUGCAUCUGGCUCUGAAUGUGCUCCUUCUCUCGUUCUCCUGCCAGCUCUUGGGAUUUGGUGUUGGUGACUCUCAUGUGAAGACAUUGAACGCUUCAGUCACAUAGGUCUUGCUGCCAUCAUUUUUGGCUUGUGGGUCUUUUUGGGUUUUUUCACAGCUGGGGUAUGUCAGAAGCAUGUCCUUCAUCUCCUACCAGGAAUGAGCAGUGACAGCGACAUUGAAUGUGACACAGAAAAUGAAGAGCAGGAAGAUGGUGCCUCUGUCUCAGUGGGGUUUAACCAGGCCUUCUCGGUCCAGUCCUCCAGCGAAGCCUCGGAGCAGUGCUCGGCAUUCCCAGAGGGUGACCAAGCUGGUCCUGGCAACCUCGGCUUUGCUACUGGAGAAGACAGCACCAGGUAGAGAACGCAUUCAGGGCCUGAAGACCUGCGGCUCGUGUCCCUGGGAAGAGGGGCGUUUAUUCGCUGGAGCUUAGCCCAAGGCUGUUAUUCGUGGCUGUGAGCACACUACGUUCUGUCCAGCACCCUCAUGUGGUUCUUCUACAGUUGUCUUAAGGCAGUUACUGGGGUGAAGUGACCUUUGGAGGCCUUACACUAAAGGCUGCAUUCCUGCUGGCUCUGCCAGCUCACAUGCUCUGAAAAAGUGCCCCAGAGGUGCUGAAGCCCCAUUUCAGGCUGCUGCUGUCCUGUUGCAUCGCUGGGAUAACCGUGAGUAUGUGACUGUCCUCACUUAAAACGGUGUGAGCAGGUUGUGCAAGGCUGCUGAAGCCAGCGGAUGUGACGGACGGAGUUGGGGUGAAGCAGCUGGUGUUUUCCUCAGUCAUGAUGUGGACCAACUGAACCCACCACCCUCUGCCACUGCGUGUUGCGUUCUGAGCUGCUAAACUACGUGUGACGCUAUGGUGAAAGCCAAAUGCCUGGUCAGUGACAAAGCAUGAGUAACUGUCACCAGUCCUUGUCCAUGUCUCCGCUGGCUGUACCGAUGUUCCUGUCUGAGUGUUCCACAGUGUAAGUAAGUGCUGUACAAUUCCUAGUUUAAAACUGUUUGCACUUUGUUAAUAAAAUGAAUGUUGAAAUCUGA
This is an RNA transcript of Strigops habroptila (Kakapo), 5224 nucleotides long. It is a transcript of the gene named tripartite motif containing 37, with no coding region annotated. The transcript is spliced from 25 exons. The record is from RefSeq and is a predicted model, not a curated record. Lineage: Eukaryota; Metazoa; Chordata; Aves; Psittaciformes; Psittacidae.